AUUGAACGCUGGCGGCAGGCCUAACACAUGUAAGUCGAACGAGUGGCGGACGGGUGAGUAAUGUCUGGGAAACUGUCUGAUGGCGGGGGAUAACUACUGGAAACGGUAGCUAAUACCGCAUACCAUCAGAUGUGCCCAGAUGGGAUUAGCUAGUUGGUGGGGUAACGACUCACCAAGGCGACGAUCCCUAGCUGGUCUGAGAAGAUGACCGGCCAACCUGGAACUGACACACGGUCCAGCCUCCUACGGUAGGAAGCAAGGGGGAAUAUUGCAACAUGGGCGAAAGCCUGAUGCAGCCGUGCCGCGUGUAUGAAGAAGGCCUUCGUAUUGUAAAGUACUUUCAGAGGGGAGGCGUUACCCGCAGAAGAAGCACCGGCUAACUCCGUGCCAGCAGCCGCGGUAAUAC
RNAcentral lists this ribosomal RNA (406 nucleotides) under uncultured bacterium. RNAcentral describes it as "partial 16S ribosomal RNA". It matches the Rfam family "Bacterial small subunit ribosomal RNA", at positions 30 to 526 of the family's 1533-position model. The record is from RNAcentral.